UACGUAGGGGGCAAGCGUUGUCCGGAUUUAUUGGGCGUAAAGAGCGUGUAGGCGGCCAGACAGGUCCGUUGUGAAAACUCGAGGCUCAACCUCGAGACGCCGAUGGAAACCGUCUGGCUAGAGUCCGGAAGAGGAGAGUGGAAUUCCUGGUGUAGCGGUGAAAUGCGCAGAUAUCAGGAAGAACACCCGUGGCGAAGGCGGCUCUCUGGGACGGUACUGACGCUGAGACGCGAAAGCGUGGGGAGCGAACAGG
RNAcentral lists this ribosomal RNA (253 nucleotides) under uncultured bacterium. RNAcentral describes it as "partial 16S ribosomal RNA". It matches the Rfam family "Bacterial small subunit ribosomal RNA", at positions 524 to 776 of the family's 1533-position model. The record is from RNAcentral.